This 1468-nucleotide ribosomal RNA is filed under the name metagenome. RNAcentral's name for it is "bacterial LSU rRNA". It matches the Rfam family "Bacterial large subunit ribosomal RNA", at positions 1433 to 2925 of the family's 2925-position model. The record is from RNAcentral.
CUAUUCCUGUACUAUCCUGUAACAGAACUGUGGGGACACAGGCAGAGAGCGUGAGCCGGGAAUGGAAAGACCGGUACAAGCGAGGUAGGAGAAGAGUUGGCAAAUCCGCUCUUUAAUCUGAAGACGUGAUGUGGACUGAAAAUAAGUAGGGAAGCACGUGAGCUGACUGUCAAGAAAAGCCGCUAUUGUUUGCAGGAUACCCGUACCGUAAACCGACACAGGUGGAUGAGGAGAGAAUCCUAAGGCCGACGGGAGAAGCAUUGUUAAGGAACUCGGCAAAAUGACUCCGUAACUUCGGGAGAAGGAGUGCCAGUAAGAUGGCCGCAGAGAAUUGGCCCAAGCAACUGUUUAGCAAAAACACAGGUCUAUGCAAAACCGAAAGGUGAGGUAUAUGGGCUGACGCCUGCCCGGUGCUGGAAGGUUAAGGGGAGAGGUUAGCGCAAGCGAAGCUUUGAACUUAAGCCCCAGUAAACGGCGGCCGUAACGAUAACGGUCCUAAGGUAGCGAAAUUCCUUGUCGGGUAAGUUCCGACCCGCACGAAAGGCGUAAUGAUUUGGGCACUGUCUCAACAAUGCACCCGGUGAAAUUGAAAUACCAGUGAAGAUGCUGGUUACCUGCGCCAGGACGGAAAGACCCCAUGGAGCUUUACUCCAGCUUGAUACUGGGAUUCGGUAUUGCAUGUACAGGAUAGGUGGGAGGCUAGGAAAUGGUAACGCCAGUUGCCAUGGAGCCAAUGUUGGGAUACCACCCUUGCAGUACUGGGUUUCUAACCAGCAGCCGUGAUCCGGCUGGGGGACAAUGUCAGGUGGGGAGUUUGACUGGGGCGGUCGCCUCCGAAAGGGUAUCGGAGGCGCUCAAAGGUUCCCUCAGAAUGGUUGGAAACCAUUCGAAGAGUGCAAAGGCAGAAGGGAGCUUGACUGCGACACCGACGGGUGGAGCAGGUACGAAAGUAGGACUUAGUGAUCCGGUGGUAUAAAGUGGGAUUGCCAUCGCUCAACGGAUAAAAGCUACCCUGGGAUAACAGGCUUAUCACUCCCAAGAGUUCACAUCGACGGAGUGGUUUGGCACCUCGAUGUCGGCUCAUCGCAUCCUGGGGCUGAAGUAGGUCCCAAGGGUUGGGCUGUUCGCCCAUUAAAGCGGUACGCGAGCUGGGCUCAGAACGUCGUGAGACAGUUCGGUCCCUAUCCGGCGUGGGCGUAAGAUAUUUGAGAGGAGCUGUCCUUAGUACGAGAGGACCGGGAUGGACUGGCCGCUGGUGUAUCUGUUGUCUUACCAAAGGCAUAGCAGAGUAGCCAAGCCGGGAAGGGAUAAACGCUGAAGGCAUCUAAGCGUGAAGCCCCCCUCAAGAUGAGAUAUCUCAUAACGUCAAGUUAGUAAGACCCCUUGAAGACGACGAGGUAGAUAGGGCAGAGGUGGAAGUGUGGUAACACAUGGAGCUGACUGUUACUAAUAGGUCGAGGGCAUAACU